Molecule: ribosomal RNA, 454 nt
Filed under: uncultured fungus
Lineage: Eukaryota; Fungi
Description: bacterial SSU rRNA
Rfam family: Eukaryotic small subunit ribosomal RNA
Source: RNAcentral
UUACAAAGCGAAACUGCGAAUGGCUCAUUAUAUAAGUUAUCGUUUAUUUGAUAGUACCUUACUACAUGGAUAACCGUGGUAAUUCUAGAGCUAAUACAUGCUGAAAAUCCCGACUUCGGAAGGGAUGUAUUUAUUAGAUUCAAAACCAAUGCCCUUCGGGGCUCCAAUGGUGAUUCAUGAUAACUUCUCGAAUCGCACGGCCCCGCGCCGGCGAUGGUUCAUUCAAAUUUCUUCCCUAUCAACUUUCGAUGCUACGGUAGUGUCCUAGCAUGGUUGCAACGGGUAACGGGGAAAGAAAUCANNUAUUCCGNGNAGCACUAAUCCAUUAGGGUAUAAUACACCUUUAAAAAUACCAUUCUAUCCAAAUCUAUUAACUUUAGAUGUUAAAGGAUUUAAUUAUGUAUUAGUAAUAUUUUUAUUUCAAAGUUUAUUUGAGCCCCNUUAUCUCAUCCAU